This 455-nucleotide ribosomal RNA is filed under the name uncultured Leptolinea sp. Its description in RNAcentral is "bacterial SSU rRNA". It matches the Rfam family "Bacterial small subunit ribosomal RNA", at positions 920 to 1378 of the family's 1533-position model. Lineage: Bacteria; Bacillati; Chloroflexota; Anaerolineae; Anaerolineales; Anaerolineaceae. The record is from RNAcentral.
GACGGGCCCGCACAAGCAGCGGAGCGUGUGGUUUAAUUCGAUGCUACACGAAGAACCUUACCAGGGUUUGACAUGCAAGUGGUAGGAAUCCGAAAGGUGACCGACCCUUCGGGGAGCUUGCACAGGUGCUGCAUGGCUGUCGUCAGCUCGUGUCGUGAGAUGUUCGGUUAAGUCCGCUAACGAGCGCAACCCUCGUCGUGUGUUAUACGUGUCACACGAUACUGCCGGUAUCAAGCCGGAGGAAGGUGGGGAUGAUGUCAAGUCAGCAUGGCCUUUAUAUCCUGGGCUACACACACGCUACAAUGGCAGAUACAAUAGGUUGCGAAACCGCGAGGUGGAGCCAAUCCUCAAAGUCUGUCUCAGUUCAGAUUGUAGGCUGCAACUCGCCUGCAUGAAGUUGGAGUUGCUAGUAAACGCAGGUCAGCUAUACUGCGUUGAAUACGUUCCCGGGGUUU